UGCAGUCGAACGGAGCUUAGAGAGCUUGCUUUUUAAGCUUAGUGGCGAACGGGUGAGUAACGCGUGAGUAACCUGCCCUAGAGUGGGGGACAACAGUUGGAAACGACUGCUAAUACCGCAUAAGCCCACGGUACCGCAUGGUACUGAGGGAAAAGGAUUUAUUCGCUUUAGGAUGGACUCGCGUCCAAUUAGCUAGUUGGUGAGGUAACGGCCCACCAAGGCGACGAUUGGUAGCCGGACUGAGAGGUUGAACGGCCACAUUGGGACUGAGACACGGCCCAGACUCCUACGGGAGGCAGCAGUGGGGGAUAUUGCACAAUGGGGGAAACCCUGAUGCAGCGACGCCGCGUGGAGGAAGAAGGUUUUCGGAUUGUAAACUCCUGUCGUUAGGGACGAUAAUGACGGUACCUAACAAGAAAGCACCGGCUAACUACGUGCCAGCAGCCGCGGUAAAACGUAGGGUGCAAGCGUUGUCCGGAAUUACUGGGUGUAAAGGGAGCGCAGGCGGGAAGACAAGCUGGAAGUGAAAACCAUGGGCUCAACCCAUGAAUUGCUUUCAAAACUGUUUUUCUUGAGUAGUGCAGAGGUAGAUGGAGUUCCCGGUGUAGCGGUGGAAUGCGUAGAUAUCGGGAGGAACACCAGUGGCGAAGGCGGUCUACUGGGCACCAACUGACGCUGAGGCUCGAAAGCAUGGGUAGCAAACAGGAUUAGAUACCCUGGUAGUCCAUGCCGUAAACGAUGAUUACUAGGUGUUGGGGGGAUUGACCCCCUCAGUGCCGCAGUUAACACAAUAAGUAAUCCACCUGGGGAGUACGACCGCAAGGUUGAAACUCAAAGGAAUUGACGGGGG
RNAcentral lists this ribosomal RNA (850 nucleotides) under uncultured bacterium. Its description in RNAcentral is "bacterial SSU rRNA". It matches the Rfam family "Bacterial small subunit ribosomal RNA", at positions 56 to 919 of the family's 1533-position model. The record is from RNAcentral.